AGAGGGUGCAAGCGUUAAUCGGAUUUACUGGGCGUAAAGCGUGUGUAGGUGGUUGGGAAAGUCAAUUGUGAAAGCCCCGGGCUUAACUCGGGAACUGCUUUUGAUACUGUCUGACUAGAAUUCGGUAGAGGGAGGCGGAACUCCAGGUGUAGCGGUGAAAUGCGUAGAUAUCUGGAAGAACACCAAUGGCGAAGGCAACCUCCUGGGCCUGAAUUGACACUGAGACACGAAAGCGUGGGGAUCAAACAGGAUUAGAUACCCUGGUAGUCCACGCCGUAAACGAUGACAACUUGACGUCGGUUUGCUCUGCGAAUCGGUGUCGUAGCUAACGCGAUAAGUUGUCCGCCUGGGGAGUACGGCCGCAAGGUUG
Molecule: ribosomal RNA, 370 nt
Filed under: uncultured bacterium
Lineage: Bacteria
Description: bacterial SSU rRNA
Rfam family: Bacterial small subunit ribosomal RNA
Source: RNAcentral